RNAcentral lists this ribosomal RNA (1084 nucleotides) under uncultured fungus. RNAcentral's name for it is "eukaryotic LSU rRNA". The stretch from base 653 to 1084 matches the Rfam family "Eukaryotic large subunit ribosomal RNA", at positions 1 to 429 of the family's 3401-position model. Lineage: Eukaryota; Fungi. The record is from RNAcentral.
UCCGUAGGUGAACCUGCGGAAGGAUCAUUACAAAUCUAGAGUUUAUGGAUGUAUACAAGGUGUGUAUCCAUGAACACAUGUGCCCAGAUUAAGAAGUAGAAUAGGAAAAGCUUAUGAUGAUUAAUCAGGAGCAGCAAAUCCAUCAUUCUCUAAUCUGCGACAUACACGCUUGUUGUGUUUGACAGAGUUUACGUUAUUAUUACAAAAAGACAACUUUUAACAAUGGAUCUCUUGGCUCUUGCAACGAUGAAGAACGCAGUAAAGUGCGAUAUGUAAUGCGAUUUGCAUGUAUCUGUGAGUCAUCUAAUCUUUGAACGCAACUUGCACCCAUUCGUGGGUAUGUCUGUUUGAGUACCGCAAUCAUUAUAUUCAGCAAUGGAUGAAAUGAGGCAUAUCUUUUCGAUUUGCAACGAAAUACUUGAACUUGUAGAAUUUCUGCAUGUAUCGAGAAACAAUGUAAAUAUGUUCAGAUUGCCUUUAAAUAAAGCAAGCGGGCAAUUAUUGCUAGCCGUCAUGUGCUAGAGACUCUUGUCUUGUCAUGACUGGUGUGCAAUGAACCCAGUGGUGUAUUCUUUUGUAUUUAGGAUUUCAUUGGCAAACACCAACGUUCAACCUAUAUAUAAUGCAACAUCCAACACCACAACUUUGUUUUUGGUCUCAAAUCAGUCAAGACUACCCGCUGAACUUAAGCAUAUCAGUAAGCGGAGGAAAAGAAACUAACAAGGAUUCCCCUAGUAACGGCGAGUGAAGCGGGAACAGCUCAAAUUUGUAAUCUCGGCGGAUUCCGUCGCGAAUUGUAAGCUAAAGAGGGUGAUCUGAGGUUGUGUUGAGGGGACAAAGUUCCUUGGAAUAGGACGCCAGAGAGGGUGAGAGCCCCGUGACGUCGCUUCACGCAACUGCAGGAGAGCCUUUCAAAGAGUCGAGUUGUUUGGGACUGCAGCUCAAAAUGGGUGGUAAAUCUCAUCCAAGGCUAAAUAUUGGCAAGAGACCGAUAGCGAACAAGUACCGUGAGGGAAAGAUGAAAAGCACAUUGAAAAGGGAGUUAAAUAGUACGUGAAAUUGUUAAAAGGGAAACGCUUGAAGU